Molecule: ribosomal RNA, 420 nt
Filed under: uncultured prokaryote
Description: bacterial SSU rRNA
Rfam family: Bacterial small subunit ribosomal RNA
Source: RNAcentral
UGAGGAAUUUUGCACAAUGGGGGAAACCCUGAUGCAGCGACGCCGCGUGUGGGACGAAGGGGCUUUGCCUUGUAAACCACUGUCGGAAGGGAAGAAAAGUACGCUCGGCGUACCGGGACUGUACCUUCAAAGGAAGCACCGGCUAACUACGUGCCAGCAGCCGCGGUAAUACGUAGGGUGCAAGCGUUGUCCGGAAUUACUGGGUGUAAAGGGUGCGCAGGCGGGUCUGUGCGUCAGGGGUUAAAUAUCGCGGCUUAACCGAGAAAGUGCCCUUGAUACGGCAGAUCUUGAGUGUGAGAGAGGAUGGUAGAAUUCCUGGUGUAGCGGUGAAAUGCGUAGAUAUCAGGAGGAAUACCCGUGGCGAAGGCGGCCAUCUGGCUCACUACUGACGCUCAGGCACGAAAGCGUGGGGAUCAAACA